This 22-nucleotide unclassified non-coding RNA is filed under the name Mus musculus (house mouse). Its description in RNAcentral is "oocyte_clustered_small_RNA10136". The record is from RNAcentral. Lineage: Eukaryota; Metazoa; Chordata; Mammalia; Rodentia; Muridae.
UCAAAACAGGGCAACUGAGCAC